RNAcentral lists this ribosomal RNA (252 nucleotides) under uncultured bacterium. Its description in RNAcentral is "partial 16S ribosomal RNA". It matches the Rfam family "Bacterial small subunit ribosomal RNA", at positions 524 to 776 of the family's 1533-position model. The record is from RNAcentral.
AACGUGGGAGACAAACGUUAUCCGGAGUUACUGGGCGUAAAGGGCGUGUAGGCGGUUUGUUAAGUCUGGCGUGAAAGCUCUCGGCUAAACCGGGAGAGGUCGUUGGAUACUGGCAACUAGAGGACGGUAGAGGCGUGUGGAAUUCCGGGUGUAGUGGUGAAAUGCGUAGAGAUCCGGAGGAACACCAGUGGCGAAGGCGACACGCUGGGCCGUACCUGACGCUAAAGCGCGACAGCAUGGGGAGCAAACGGG